CGGCGACGCCGAGCGGAACCCGAAAGCCCUCCCAGUUCGGACCGGAGCCUGCAACCCGGCUCCGUGAAGUUGGAUUCGCUAGUAAUCGCGCAUCAGCCAUGGCGCGGUGAAUACGUUCCCGGGCCUUGUACACACCGCCCGUCAAGCCAUGGGAGCCGGGGGCGCCUGAAGUCCGGGACCGCGAGGACCGGCCUAGGGCGAAACUGGUAACUGGGGCUAAGUCGUAACAAGGUACC
Molecule: ribosomal RNA, 236 nt
Filed under: uncultured bacterium
Lineage: Bacteria
Description: partial 16S ribosomal RNA
Rfam family: Bacterial small subunit ribosomal RNA
Source: RNAcentral